ACAAUGCCCCUUCAGCAGGGUUGAAGAUGCCCACCCUGGCAUUUUCCGGGAAGCCGGUGCAAGUCCGGCACGGACCCGCCGCCGUGAUCGGGGACAAGGCCCGCACAUUUGUCACUGCCCAAAGGGGUGGGAAGACGCGUGGCCGAGAAUGAUCCGAGAGUCGGAAGACCGACCCUGCUCUGUCCAUAUUG
Molecule: non-coding RNA, 191 nt
Filed under: Desulfovibrio sp.
Lineage: Bacteria; Pseudomonadati; Thermodesulfobacteriota; Desulfovibrionia; Desulfovibrionales; Desulfovibrionaceae
Also listed under: 1 other name
Source: RNAcentral